This 478-nucleotide ribosomal RNA is filed under the name uncultured bacterium. RNAcentral's name for it is "bacterial SSU rRNA". It matches the Rfam family "Bacterial small subunit ribosomal RNA", at positions 328 to 793 of the family's 1533-position model. The record is from RNAcentral.
UGACAGUACUCCUACGGGGAGGCAGCAGUGGGGGAAUAUUGCACAAUGGGCGCAAGCCUGAUGCAGCCAUGCCGCGUGUGUGAAGAAGGACCUUCGGGUUGUAAAGCACUUUCAGUCGUGAGGAAGGUAGUGUAGUUAAUAGCUGCAUUAUUUGACGUUAGCGACAGAAGAAGCACCGGCUAACUCCGUGCCAGCAGCCGCGGUAAUACGGAGGGUGCGAGCGUUAAUCGGAAUUACUGGGCGUAAAGCGCAUGCAGGUGGUUUGUUAAGUCAGAUGUGAAAGCCCGGGGCUCAACCUCGGAAUAGCAUUUGAAACUGGCAGACUAGAGUACUGUAGAGGGGGGUAGGAAUUUCAGGUGUAGCGGUGAAAUGCGUAGAGAUCUGAAGGAAUACCGGUGGCGAAGGCGGCCCCCUCGGACAGAUACUGACACUCAGAUGCGAAAGCGUGGGUAGCAAACAGGAUUAGAUACCCUGGUAG